GUCCUAGCUGUAAACGAUGAGUGCUGGGUGUGGGAGGUAUUAACCCCUCCUGUGCCGAAGCUAACGCAUUAAGCACUCCGCCUGGGGAGUACGGUCGCAAGGCUGAAAACUCAAAGGAAUUGACGGGGGCCCGCACAAGCGGUGGAGCAUGUGGUUCAAUUCGACGCAACGCGAAGAACCUUACCGGGGUUUGAACUGUACGGGACAGCUCUAGAGAUAGAGUCUUCCUUCGGGACCCGUAUAGAGGUGCUGCAUGGCUGUCGU
This 264-nucleotide ribosomal RNA is filed under the name uncultured bacterium. RNAcentral describes it as "partial 16S ribosomal RNA". It matches the Rfam family "Bacterial small subunit ribosomal RNA", at positions 793 to 1055 of the family's 1533-position model. The record is from RNAcentral.